RNAcentral lists this ribosomal RNA (253 nucleotides) under uncultured bacterium. Its description in RNAcentral is "partial 16S ribosomal RNA". It matches the Rfam family "Bacterial small subunit ribosomal RNA", at positions 524 to 776 of the family's 1533-position model. The record is from RNAcentral.
UACGGGGGGGGCAAGCGUUGUUCGGAAUUACUAGGCGUAAAGGGCUCGUAGGCGGCCAACUAAGUCAGACGUGAAAUCCCUAGGCUCAACCUAGGAACUGCGUCUGAUACUGGAUGGCUUGAAUCCGGGAGAGGGAUGCAGAAUUCCAGGUGUAGCGGUGAAAUGCGUAGAUAUCUGGAGGAAUACCGGUGGCGAAGGCGGCAUCCUGGACCGGCAUUGACGCUGAGGAGCGAAAGCCAGGGGAGCAAACGGG